RNAcentral lists this ribosomal RNA (1395 nucleotides) under Triticum aestivum (bread wheat). RNAcentral's name for it is "partial small subunit ribosomal RNA". The record is from RNAcentral. Lineage: Eukaryota; Viridiplantae; Streptophyta; Magnoliopsida; Poales; Poaceae.
AUGGGCUUCUUGUCGUGCCUGUUCCGGUGCCCCGAGGAGGAGGAGCGGGUGGUGAAGGAGCACGAUGACGACGAGGACUCCGGCGGAAUCGACCAUGGAGUGGCUUCAGAGUCAUCAGAAAGUGCCCCACUGAAGACUGAAUCCGCACAUAUGGAAGGAAUCCAGAGAAAUGGCACACAUAAUGAGGCGACGAUCUUCACUUUGCGUGAGCUCGUUGAUGCCACCAAAAACUUCAGCAAGGAUUUUCAGUUGGGGCGAGGAGGAUUUGGUUGUGUGUAUAAAGCACAUCUGAAUGAUGGUCAGGUUGUUGCAGUCAAACAACUUGAUCUAAAUGGGCUUCAGGGGAACCGAGAAUUCCUUGUGGAGGUUCUCAUGCUCAACCUCUUGCAUCACCCUAACCUUGUCAAUUUGAUAGGGUACUGUGUUGACGGUGAUCAACGCUUGCUCGUUUAUGAAUAUAUGCCAUUGGGAUCACUAGAAGACCAUCUGCACGACCUUCCACCCAAUAAAGAACCUCUAGAUUGGACAACACGGAUGAAGAUAGCUGCGGGUGCAGCUGCUGGUUUGGAAUACCUACAUGAUAAGGCAAAUCCACCAGUUAUUUACCGAGAUAUUAAGCCAUCAAACAUUCUUCUUUCUGAAGGGUAUCAUGCGAAGUUGUCUGACUUUGGACUUGCUAAACUUGGUCCUGUGGGUGAUAAGACUCAUGUGACAACCCGUGUCAUGGGGACCUAUGGCUAUUGUGCUCCUGAGUACGCUGCGACUGGACAGCUAACGGUUAAGUCUGACAUCUAUAGUUUUGGUGUGGUGUUCCUCGAGCUAAUUACAGGACGAAGGGCACUCGAUAGCAAUCGGCCUCGUGAGGAACAGGACUUGGUCUCAUGGGCCCGUCCAUUGUUCAAAGACCAAAGGAAAUUUCCAAAGAUGGCUGAUCCUUUGCUGCGUGGCCGCUUUCCAAAGAGGGGUUUGUACCAGGCCUUGGCUAUUGCAGCGAUGUGUUUGCAGGAGAAGUCAAGGAAUCGCCCUCUGAUUAGGGAAGUUGCUGCCGCUCUCUCCUAUUUGUCAUCACAAACAUACGAUGGGAAUGACGCUGCUGUUCGUCGUUACCUUGAUGGCCCUUCGACAUCAAAAGUGUCAGACGAUCAGGUUAACCAAGAUGAUGCUUUGGCUAGUCAACAUGGAGCUCAAACAUGGAUGCAUGACCGUAUGAAUGACCUUGUUCCAGAAGGAAAAGAACAUUGCAGGAGUGGCUCCAAUCGUGGAGUACGAGGCAGGGUUGUUCCAAACGGUGUCGACCGAGACCGUGCACUUGCAGACGCGAAUGUCUGGGCCGAGGCUUGGAGACGCCACGAGAAGGCAAGCAAAGUGCGUGUAACCGAUGAAAUCCUCGGAUAG